AUUGCUUUCUCCGUUGUCUAGGUACCAAACAUUAGCACAAUCUGAAUGAGCUUCAAACUUUCUUGGUACGACAUUCUUCUCAUUGAGGAAAACCACCUCGUGCAUCAUCAACUCCUCUGCUUCCCGUGUGCUUUCAUUAUCAGUUUCUUGUGUUUCUUGGAGUUUAUGCUUUAGAUCAGGGCAAUCGUAUACAUAAUGUCCAUUUUUGUCGCACCGAUAACAUACUAUACGAGAUGCAUCUCUUCCUUGUCUCCAA
RNAcentral lists this long non-coding RNA (256 nucleotides) under Brassica napus (rape). RNAcentral describes it as "long non-coding RNA (BNAP_LNC011254)". Lineage: Eukaryota; Viridiplantae; Streptophyta; Magnoliopsida; Brassicales; Brassicaceae. The record is from RNAcentral.